RNAcentral lists this long non-coding RNA (205 nucleotides) under Homo sapiens (human). Its description in RNAcentral is "HSALNT0179144". Lineage: Eukaryota; Metazoa; Chordata; Mammalia; Primates; Hominidae. The record is from RNAcentral.
CAGCCUCCCAAAGUGCUGGGAUUACAGGCAUGAGCCACUGCGCCCAGCCUAAAUCACUUUCAGAAAGUUAAGAGAUUAUGUCCAGAUGUGGUAAAUCAAGAAACAGAAAAUUAUGUGUAUUAUAAGAAAUAGGUGGCUCAAACCUGUAAUCCCAGCAUUUUGGAAGGCCGAGGCGGGCAGAUGACUUGAGCCCAGGAGUUCGAGA